This 1846-nucleotide long non-coding RNA is filed under the name Triticum aestivum (bread wheat). RNAcentral describes it as "long non-coding RNA (TAES_LNC022977)". The record is from RNAcentral. Lineage: Eukaryota; Viridiplantae; Streptophyta; Magnoliopsida; Poales; Poaceae.
UGAAUGGCAGCAUUGUUUUGAUAAUAAUAAUAAUGAAAAGGCAGUACUCGAGCCGGCCCAACGUUUGGUCCGGUCUUACGCUAGCCACCCGAUCUAUUCAUCAUUAGCCAUUGGAUUUGGCCCUAUCUGUGUUGUCUUCCUCGCGAGAAAAAAACAAGGGGAUUCACAAGCUCCCCCACGUGCACACCUCCACUCCCUCUCCUUGUCGUCGUUGUGGCCGUGCCCGACAAGCUCCGGUGAGGUCGUGCCCCCGUGACCGUGCCCGAUGAGCUCUAGUGAGGUCCCGCCCUCGGGGCCGUCUGGAUUGCAUCAGGACCACCAUUGGUUCCAGCACGAUUCACCAUGAAUGCAACUCUAAAAAUAAAUCAGAUUGAUCAGAUUCAGUGUGCGGGCGCCAUUAUUGUAGCAUCGUAGGGUAACCCCGCCUCCGGCUCGCCACAGUUGUCGGUUUGCACCAUCACGUCCCGCCUCCGGCUCGCCACAGUUGUCGGUUUGCACCAUCACGUCCAGUCAAAAACAGAUCUAAAAAAGGCACAAAUUCUCAGUCUUCGGUUGAAACAAAAUCAUUAUAAGGUUCCAGGAAAACUAGACAUUGGUUCCAGCAAAAAAUUAACCUCAGCAGGGAGAACUUCAAUGGUUGAUUGUAGCAACCAAAAUUGCUAGUUCCGGCAAAAAUAAACACUAUUUCCAGCAAAAAAAGCUCAACAAGAAGACUCUCAAUGGUUCGAUUGUAGCAAACAAAAGAAUGAUUGUAUCAAAAAGAAAAGCUAGUUUCAGCAAAAACAUAUACCGGUUCCAGCAAAAACUCCAUCGUCGACGGCGAGGGCGCAUCUGGAUGCAGCAAAUCGCGUGGCCGAUGGCAAAAAAAACUGAUGACGGUUCCAGUAAAAUGGAUGGCCGGUUGCAGCAAAAAGGUAGCCCGCAACACGCCGUCCGUCUCCACGGCGCGAAGACUUUCGCGGGUUGAAGCAGCGGGGGGCACCGGUUCUAGCUCUGGGAUGCUCGAUUGCAGCAAAACAGGGAGCCCGUUCCUGCUCACCACCGCUUCCAGCACCAGCGGCCCCUUGCCGCAGGUUUGCCGACACGGACAGAGCAACUCCAAAAUGGUCAGUUCCAGCAAAUUCCAUCACCGGUUCCAGCAAAACUUGUCGCUGGUUCCAGCAAAAUUCGACAAAUGUCGAAGCAAAAAUCACCACUUACGCAGGGUCUCCGGCAAAUUUAGAAACCGGUUCCAGCAAAUUUCAUCGCCGGUUCCAACAAAAAUUGUCGCUAGUUCCAGCAAAUAUGUCACGACAAAAUAUCAGCACCUAUGCGAGAUCCCCAGCAAAAUCAGACACCAGUUCCAGCAAAAAUCAUUGCCGGUCCCAGCAAAAAUUUGGCCGGUUGAAGCAGCGGUAUGGCAUGGGCGUAAAAAGAGAGCGCGCCCCGUCUUCCUUGCCGCAACCCACAGCCACCGGUGCCCCUUGCUUGCAGCAACACCCUGUGGUGGGCAUUCCGGCAAGGCGGAAUCGCUACCAGCCCCAUGCAUCGAUCGUCGGGCCAUGGGGGAGUGUGUGACGUCCUCUGUAGAUGCAACAGCUAGAGAAAACUUCAAAGCAGGGAAGGGGGAGAGAUGCUCACAUCAGUGGGGGAGGGAGGUCUCGUGGCUGUAGGCGGUCGGAUCCUUUAACGACGGUGAGCUCCAAAUGCGGUGGUGAGGGGACAGGCACUCGGCGCCAUGGCCAAAAUAGAAAAAAGAAGAGAGCAGCGGAGGAGAAAAAGGAUGCGAGGCCAAGCGAAGGAGAUAAGGGUCCGCAUGGGCCUAGCUUGGCAUGUGGACGCUGUUCGCGUGGUUCCUACACGUGGC